UAUCCCCCCCGCCCCCUUUUUUUAAAUGGUGAAAUGCCUAUUCUUAGGAAUAUAAAUAAAAAGUAGUAUUUUAUGUGACUGUUGCCAUAUUCUAGGAAUGGCCUAUGAAGUAAGUGUUUUAAAUUACCUGUUUAUAAAUAUUCUUUACUGUGAAUAGUUGAAUAAAAAAGCUUCCUGUUCCUAUUCUUUUGAGAAUUAAAAAAAAAACACACAGCAGUCCAACUAGUUUCUAAAAUCAGUUUUAGGCUUGAUUAUUUAAUGGUGAGAAAUGUAUGAUUCAACAUACAAAUAUUUGCUUCUAACCCACUUUAUAGAUAUUAAAAGCCAGAAAUGUUAUGAAUCUUUGUUUAGAUGACCGAGGGGUCUUUCCCCAUUGGAACACAAGUGACCAGUAUGUGUCGCAAAUCAUUUAUUUUUCCAAACGUAUAUAAAUACAUUUAUAUUUCACUUUGGCA
This 455-nucleotide long non-coding RNA is filed under the name Bos taurus (domestic cattle). RNAcentral describes it as "long non-coding RNA NONBTAT016023". The record is from RNAcentral. Lineage: Eukaryota; Metazoa; Chordata; Mammalia; Artiodactyla; Bovidae.